Molecule: ribosomal RNA, 254 nt
Filed under: uncultured bacterium
Lineage: Bacteria
Description: partial 16S ribosomal RNA
Rfam family: Bacterial small subunit ribosomal RNA
Source: RNAcentral
CACGUAGGGGGCAAGCGUUGUCCGGAUUCAUUGGGCGUAAAGAGCUCGUAGGCGGUUCGAUAAGUCGGGUGUGAAACCUCCAGGCUCAACCUGGAGACGCCACCCGAUACUGUCGUGACUAGAGUCCAGUAGGGGAGCGUGGAAUUCCUGGUGUAGCGGUGAAAUGCGCAGAUAUCAGGAGGAACACCGAUGGCGAAGGCAGGUCUCUGGGCUAUAACUGACGCUCAUGCACGAAAGCGUGGGGAGCAAACAGG